This 441-nucleotide ribosomal RNA is filed under the name uncultured bacterium. Its description in RNAcentral is "bacterial SSU rRNA". It matches the Rfam family "Bacterial small subunit ribosomal RNA", at positions 958 to 1398 of the family's 1533-position model. The record is from RNAcentral.
AACGCGAAGAACCUUACCUGGGCUCGAACGGCUUCGGACAAUCCUUGGAAACAGGGACUUCCCGCAAGGGGGUGGAGUCGAGGUGCUGCAUGGCUGUCGUCAGCUCGUGUCGUGAGAUGUUGGGUUAAGUCCCGCAACGAGCGCAACCCUUGUCCUGUGUUGCCAUACCGAAAGGUGGAACUCGCAGGAGACCGCCAGGGAUAACCUGGAGGAAGGUGGGGAUGACGUCAAGUCCUCAUGGCCUUUAUGUCUAGGGCUACACACGUGCUACAAUGGACGGUACAAAGCGUCGCUAACCUGCGAAGGGGAGCCAAUCGCAAAAAACCGUUCUCAGUUCGGAUUGCAGGCUGCAACUCGCCUGCAUGAAGCUGGAAUCGCUAGUAAUGGCAGAUCAGCACGCUGCCGUGAAUACGUUCCCGGGCCUUGUACACACCGCGCAUA